GGAGGCGGAGCCAAGAUGGCGACCGAGGGGAGGCGGGAACCGAGAUGGCGGCUGAGGGAGCGUGGAGGCCGUGGGCCCGGCUUCCGACAGCGCGGCGCUGACUGCAGGACGGCCUAAGGAUGUCUAGAGCAACGAAGAGGCCUAAGCGCACCUAUGGGGCGCAGUGAGGUAAAACCGGCCCUGUGACACUGCCACACUCCUCCCACCAGGAGUGAACUGAUGUGAAGUGCCUGGUCCUACACAUGGAAACGCAAAUCCUCCAUUUGUUUUUACAACCACAGCAAUCACCCAUCCCCAGCGGAAGGCCACACCAGACAGUUUAUUUCUAAAUCUUUAUUUGUUUUCUACACGGAGAAAACAGAGGAAUGUUGAAGCAGCAGUACUGAAACACACUAACGAGGAGCCAUCCAUCUGUGAGUGCACACAACAUAGCGCAGGGCCGUCUGUGUGGUGAUCUCUAACGGGAAGCACGAGGGGAGGUCUGGGAGCAGCCUCUGGGCACAGGAGGGAGAGCUCUAUGCAAAGGUGGAACCGUUCCAGCCCACGUUGGCAGCAUUUAUGUCGAAGUAGUUGAUGUAUACCCUGCAGAAGAGGCAUAGGAAUACACAAAAAAAAUGACUCUUAAUAAGUAGUUUGUAUAAGCAAUGAGUGAGACAAGGCAACAGGAUAGAGGAGAGUGUCUCCUGCCUCCCAGAAACAAAAGUUUUUACUGAAGCCUGUUUAACGUGUGUGACAGCCUCCAUCAGCUGAUAUCCUUAGAGCCUCUGGAACUGUCCCUUCUAUCAAAUACAAGCUCUUCAGUCAGGAGCAACUCAGGCACCUUUUGGGUAGCAGCCUGUCCAGAAUUCCAGAGACAAACCUCUUGUUACAGAGCACUGCAGUCUCACACACCAGACCAACACACAGUCCGGCAGGCACUGGCUCUGUGCUUCUUCCUUCCAACACGGGGAUGUGAGAGGCAGCAGGCUGGUCCUCCUCCCUAUCACUGCUGCACGCGGGCACUCCCCAAAGCUCUACCUGUGCAAGAGCUGUGUGCAGCCUGCUAGUUCAUGCUUGCCUGUGUGCUCCAGCCUACUACGUCUCCGCCCUCGUGCUUUCAGGCCCCACCAUGAGGAAACAUCACACCCCAGGAGUGAAUGAAUCUGCAUUGUGGACUCUACCACUCGCCAAUGCUCAGGUGUUCUUUCCUACGAGGCUAAAUGGCUUCCUGGAGAACUUCCAAAGGAAAGAUGGAGGCAACAAACUUUUAAAUGGACGUGAAGAGCUGCAAGAAAUUACUUUGUAUUCUCUCCUGGCUUUUUACAUUUUCAAAUGAAGUUUCCAAAGGAGUCACAGAGCUACAGAUGAAAAGGACCACAUCCCAGCCCUACCUGUCUGCAGACACGUGCAAGUGCUUCGCAAUCAUAUCGCACAGGAGCUUGGUGUAGGUCUUGUUCUGCUGCCCUCCAAUUUUGCCAAUGCUGUAGAGGCUGCAGAGAGCGCAAGGAUCCGUGGAGCCCCCGAAGGACAUCAUCUGAUCAGAUGUUGCUGCAGCAUGAAGUUAGACGUGGAAGAGUCAUGCAGGAAAUUGCAAAGCUGUGGCUUCAAAAUGAUCUCAGAAAGGUUCUGAUCUGGAGAAGACAAGGGGGACUACAGAAGUCGCCAGAACCGUGAGCAUGCUUUAAUGGCUAAAGGUAGAGUGAGCAUAUUGCCAUCCCAACACAUCAGCAUCCCUUAGAAUGCUGACACAUGGGAGCAGUAACAUAAAACUGUGCUGUAGAUUUUGCCAAGAGAGGGUGGGCUUGUUUGUAGGAACAGAUUCUGGGGCCUCAUAGCAGCUGCCAAAAAUCGCUGAUAAGUGAUCCUAAAUACAGAGGAUGGUAACUCCAGCAAUGACCAAGAGCUGGGCAAGAAGAUGUCAUAUGGAGAGCCUGGCCAAGCUCUGCAGGCAACUGCUGCUGUGUAGAAGGGUUGGCAGAUAGCAAAUAGUGGCCUGGGAAACCUGGGAAAAAUGAGAGGAGCUCCUGAGAGCCAUGAUGUCUUCUUUAAGGUUGCUGUAAAUAUUUUAAGACUUUAAGGGGGAAAUGCACUCAACUGCACUGAUGCCACACAGCUGAACUGAGGCAGUCAGAAUAAUUAUCAUGUACAGCUGCCAGCGGGUAGCUGGGUCUUUCAUUAGUUCCAGGACACUCAAGAUCUUGAUGUUUUUCAUUGUUGCCUUCUCUUUCAUGAUGUCAUCAAUCUCUGCUUGGUGAUGGCCUUCACCCCAAAGCUGCCUUAUGGCUGUAGAGGAGAAGGAAAGUGAGACCUGCCAUGUUAAUUUGUCUCUUUUGUUUGGUGACUGAGGAAUUUAAGUGAGUGAUGCAUAUCUCUGUCAGAACAACAUGCAUGGGCUGUGUCUGCAGUGUGAGGCAAAGAUGUCGUAUGGUGUGUUCCGGAGCCCUGUCCCCUCUUUCACAAGAGGGGCUUGUUCAGAGACAGGGGCUUUAGUGAGGAGCACAAUGACUUCCUCCCUGCCCAUGGGUCCACAUUAACCCCUUCCUCAUUCUCUCAGGGUACAAGCUUGGUACACAGCCAACAACAUAGAGUUGAGCGGUGCCUUGUGGAGCCCUGCAGUGCAAACAGCCAUUUGUCAUUUGUCAUUUAUCAUUUAUACUGCUCAGGGCAUAACAGCUUAGUAUGAAAGAUUUUGUAAUACAGGAGUAGUUUCAUGUUCUAUGUGAGGACUAUAACAAAAAUGUACUUAGUGGGUAUUCAGAGUCAUCUCAGAAAUGAGCAGGGAGAAACUUUUUUCUGCACUGGGAGAGAAAACUCACAAACCAACUGAAAGCCAAGUAAGGAACAGGAACACAGAGCACUCAGUUACCUUUCCUGCAGCCUUCCUGGUCUUCUUUAUGCAUGAGGAGAUAUGGCGGGGAUUCAGGGAAGAAGGGCAGAGUGAACAGCUGGACCAGUGCAGGAAUUCCACAGGAGGCCAUCAGCAUGGGCCACCGGGACUGGCUGCCCAGCAGCUCCCUGGCAGGAAUAAAACAAGUGUGUGUAGAAUAAAAGUUCAUUGCAUUGGUUUUUGAGAAGAGAAAUAAAUGGAUGGAAAAGCAGCAGAAGAAGCAAAAGAUAGAAGGAUCCAGAUAUGAACUGGGUCGGAAAUCAGUUGUACUAUACCUUUGUCCUGCAAUUUGCCCUACGGCUUUUCCCAGUGACCAAAAGAAAGAGGCAGUAGAGUUUGCAAAUCCACGUAGCUUCCUAGGGGAAAUUUCCCCAACAUACUGAUGAUGCAGAGGAGUAGAAAAGCCUUGAGGUGAAGAGGAAAUUAUGGGAGAGAAGAAGAAGACAUUCAUAACCAUGGGAAAUAAAACUGAAUGUAAAUUAAUAAGCAGCACUUAUAUAGCUGCCUUGUGCACCAAAUUGUUUCUCAUACCUCAACCUAGGCAUGAGAUUUUUCAGUACUAGGCUUUCUAACCAUUUCUACAGAAAUGGUUCCUGUCCUCUUUGCACAGUGCAGUUUCCUGAUCUUAAGAACUGUACACCUGUGGGGUGUUGCCUCAUCAUGGUGUCUCUUUUGAGUCUUAGUACUUUUUAAAGGAGAAUAUGCAGAAAAUGAGUAAUUUAACAGCGAGAAGUAGUAUUUAAUUUGAUUGCAGUUAAUGUAUAAUCUCAGCCCUGUUUGAAAUGAUGUUAUAGAAGAGCUGGUAUGGUAGAUCCAUUGUGGGUUACAGUAUAUGGUGCUUCAAUGUUGGUUUGUGCAUGACUUGAGAGAAGAUGCAAGUAUUUCUUUUCAAUGUACAGCAAUAAUUUUGAUGAUUUGGAGCAGAGUUGAUGUUUCCAGCUAUCAGUGAAGUACUUAAUAACUCAGAAAUUCUGAAAUCUAGUCUGGGAUCAUGAGUAUUUUCUUUAUAUGAUAGUCACAGCCCCUCUAAUCUGGUUUGAAAACAUUUUCUUCUCCUGUCUUUAUGUGUUGGUAAAAUGGUGGAGAUAUGCAGCCUCCAUAGCAAAAAUUAGGUCUUUACAUAAGACAAGAUAGGGGUUCUAGAUCAUAGCAGGGUGACCGUGGGUGAGCAGUUCUUGAAAUAAUGUUGUUCUUCAAUACAUCUGUAUGUCAGUAACUUACAGAACUUGGUUAUUUGAAAAAUAGACACUAAUUUCUAAUGAAGUCAGUUAAAAAAAAGAAGGCAUCCUCGUGAAUAUCCAAAACUAAAUGGAAAAGCAACAUUUUGCGUAGGAAACAAAUACAAGACAUACUGACACUAGCACAGGUUAUUUUCUAUGCACGUGGACUACCUGCCAGGAGUGAAUUUACUAGAUUGUGUCCAGCUCCUUUCACUAACCCCAGGGACUUACUGCUUUGAAGCAGAUUGAACACCCUUGUAGAACAUUCCUCAAAUAUGCUCAGAGUCAAAAUGAAAUGGCCAUGAUUUUGAAUGGUCUGUUUCUCUGAAGCCAUACGAGAGCACUAGAUUUAAACUAUAUUCCAUAUAAUUUUGAGUACUAUCCAUCAAAAUGAAGGUAAUGCUAUAUCUAUUUCUCCACUAGAAAAGUUUUCAAUUGUAUCAGAACAUUUAUGACAGCUCUGAAUAUUUAUACACUUGGCAAAGCUGAAUUUCAUUUGUUAUCUGCAAAAUUAUUUAUAACUAUACUCCUUAUAGUUGGUUGAUGUAGAAUAUCUUCUGACAAAGGAUCACAGACUUUAAGAUUUUUUCCUCUUAGUGAAGGGUUAUCUAUUUUGAAUAAGGAUGUAAUAUUUAACCUGUGGGAGAAAUCACUUACCUACACUUACACCACAGAGGAAGCGUCCAAUGAGAAUCAUCUCAAAGGACUUGGACAUUUUGCUGCAGCCCAUGAUAGAUGCUGAAGUUAUCAUUAAUAGAUUGUUGCACAGAAUACAUUUUUUUCUGUAAAUGCAAGCACAUGAAACAUUUUUGUAGAUCAGGAGAGAAAUGGCAUUUAAGCUCCUGGAACAUAGGAGCACAGGGUAAAAUCAUCUUGCUCACUUUGUCAACUUAUGCAUAUAUGGUCCAGUACAAAACAAAGUCCUUCUCCUAUUGGUUCUGAACACUCUCUGUCCCUCCUACACAGAAUUAUUGUCAUCCAGCUAGCUCAGGAUCUGAACAGGGAAAAUUCACUAGAGCCAAGGAUAUCUGUUAUAUGGUUGGCAGAGAAAGGUACUGGAAAAAAGGUUACUUCCAGAUUCCCUGGAAGGCAUGUGGGGACACUGUGACUUCUGGGACAGGACCUGCCAGCCUCUACUGUGUCCUUUCUGGGUCACACGUUGAAGUUCAUUUCCCAGUAAACCAGGGAGAGUGAAACAAGGAAGGGGAGCAAUGUGACACUGAUGUAGCACCUAGGAGCAUCUCAACGCUGCUAUAUUUUGAGUAGCAUCUCCAAGAAACCCCUCUGCCUUCAGCUGGGAGCAGCCUUUCCAGUUGAGCCAGCCUUAGUAUGCACAUCUUGUGUGACAAGCUGGAAGCAUACUUGGUUAGCUAGUGACACAGGAUACAGGCAAGAAGCAGCAACUUGGCAUCACUGCCGAGCUGGCUGUGUACAGCUGCUACUGUACCUUUAAAUCAGCUUCACAUUUAAAAACUUUUAAAACCUCAGCAGUGAUUUCCUUAAAUUAAGAUUCAGUUGACAAAUUCUCAUUAAACAUACAUACUUGCCAUACUUGACAGUCAGGUAUCUACUUCCUGAAGCACCCAAAAGACCUCCUAUACCAAGGAUGGACACAAUGAGAGACCACAGGAACAAGAGGUUAUCCUGAUGGAUGGGGUAGCCAUAUCGCUCCAGCCAAGUUUCAUUAAUGAAAGCCUUAACAUGCUGAGACAGAGCAAAAAGGAUCAUUAACAAUAACUGUGACUCCACAGCAUGUAUUUUAUUACAUUUAUAACAUAACUUUGUUGCUUUAGAUAAAAUCUCUAUUUCAUAUAGACUCUAGAAGUUUUCAUUAGCCGGUAGGCAUAAAGUAAUAGAGUAUGCUAUGUUGAUUCUCUUGCUAGGAGAUCAUUCUUUGUUUGGUUGUUCUUGAAAUUUGAGGCACUAAGACACAGACCUGUAAUGAGGAACUGCACGUGAUCACUGCAGUUUCUAAAUCCUUCCUUACUUAGAACUCUGUGCUCUGAAGCCUGAAAGUAACACUUCUGCUAUAAGGUGAUUUCUAUCAUUUGCUAAUGUCCUCCCUUAAGUUCCAGUGUCUCAAAUGGAAGUUUUACCUGUAGUCAGUGGAGAGAAGCAGUUAGAGCACAGUUCACUUGACUUGUUCUGUUUGACUUCCCUAUGUGAAGAUGGGUAAGCUCUGAGAGUGUCAUUUGGUAUCACUGGAGUAGCCACAUGGGACAUCCGUCUCCCUGUAAACUUGCAGCACAUCUGUCAGUGCUUUUUUUGAGCAACAGUUCUAUUAACAAUAAGUUGCAGAUCUCUCUAUUUUCUUCUGUUUUCAACACUUUGACAUGUUCUGCUUUACAGGAUAGCAUAGUAAUGGGAAUUAAUCACAAGAGGAGAAUAUAGUGAUUAAAUCCUUUCUAACUAUCAGAGAGGAGCAUGCCAAGAAAGGGAUAUGGAGUUGGUGAUUCCAUUUGCCAGUCUGCUAUGUGAGCUUUUACCUACCUGAUUCAUGUAGGUGAUGGUAGAAAUUUGAAAGCCAAUUUGGAAUGUUCCACCGAUCCCCAGGACAAUGACCAUUUGGAAGAGUCCCUGGUAUUGUACCUGCAGAAGCAGAAGAAAAUCUUAAGCUUGUAGCUGCAUCAGGCUGCUCCUUAAUUGUGCCUUUCAUUCUCCAGAAACAUCUCACUUGUUCAAGGAUUUUGCAGGUAGGCUCUGACAAAGAUUGAAGACAGAGCAUAAGAAGUGCAAACAUCUGCAAUACCCUGAAAAAGUGUGUAGAAUCACUUCCAAAGUACUUUUUGCAAAUAGGAGCCGUGUUGUUUUGACAGAGAUAGUGAUUUUGUUUUCUUUGAUGCACUGAUAGCACACAAAAAUAUCCCAAAUGUCAGUGCCCCACCACGUACUCACCAGGUCUGAUAGGAAGCCGGUCAUCUCUAGCUCAGGAGCUGGUUGUCCAGUGCACUGAGUGUCUGUGUCGUCACUGGCUUCUGUGUCUGUCUCAUUCCUGCUGGCACGGCAGUGGGCAUUUGGCUUCAGGGAGCAGGGUUAAAUUUUUACUUUUAUGUCUUUGCUCACUUAUAUUUACUUCAGCUGGACAAAGUUAACACUGCUGGAUUAAAUAUUUCAGGAAAUAAUUGCAUCUGGUCCAGUCUGCGGGGGGAAAGUUUCAGAACAGAGGAAGUUUGUAGCUGGCCUUUGGAAAGAGAAAGGAGAGCUCAGGAAAAAAAACAAAUCCAAGUAGUUUUCCAAGAUCAGAAAAGUACUGUAUUUCACUGAUAUGAGCUGAGCAACAUCCCCUAUAAUCUGCUCAAUGGGAAAAGUAAUUAGCAAAAUAUUUAGGUUUUGGUAUUUAUUAAGCAGUAAAGAUUUGGUAUUUGGUUUCCGAUUCACUGGUAGAGUAAAUAGCUUUUAUUAGAUGAAAAAAAAAUAGGCAAAUUCUCAAACACACAGCUCUUCAUUGGGUUUGAGAUAGAAGUAGCACAUUUCAAAUCUUAAUUCAGCUGUUCUGAUUUAUGUACCAUUUAGACUGUCCCAAGGAAGAAUAUUUCUUGUCUUGUGAUUAUGAGAAUGUUGGCCAGGGAUGGUGAGAAGGCACCAGGAGAUGCUGUGCCCUGGCAGAGGCUUUUGGAAUAGAGUGUCUCUUCCUGAAGGCUCCAUGUCAAACCAGUAACUAAAAUCCACUUCCUUAUGGGAGUAAUCAAAGUGAGUAAAUACUCCUUAACGAAGUAGGGCGGCACAGCUGGGUUCUUCAUCCCUCAGGCUUCAGCUCUGAGCGUUACAGACACAGAACCCAGGGUUGCAUCAGCAGAUCCAUUCUAAAGUCACCUUUGGUUCCCAUAGGCUCCACAUUGAUGAUGUGAAACCUGAACUGUAGCUCUACUUGGCUUCUUCUAGAGACCACAUUUGGAAGAAAGAGGUUUGCUUGGCGCUCUUGUAUGUUUGAUGUCCUGUGACAUUCCUGCUUUCAAUGUCUUCUGCUUUCUUUAAGUUGUGCCAGGGGACCUUCCUCCACUGCCAAGGUUUGGGCUGGGUGCAGGUGUGACAAUGGGGUCGUGUUGGAGCCAUCAGUAAAUUCCUAAGUUCGGGACUUGUACUCUUAGUUCAUAAAACACAGAAUGCAAUUAUUGACAGAGGGUUUUACUGCAAAUGCAGCAAGUCUAAAGAAAAGAGAGAAGAAUAGAUGUUAAUAAUAAAACCUUAGUUACUUGUGUAAUUGCAAGUGUUCCUAUACAAUGCAUAGCAAAUGCUGUUUUUCCUGGCUUGCAAUAGCGUUUAGAAUGAUUUAGCACUUUCUAAAGAAUAAGUCCAAUGAGGACAUGUUUUUGGCUUCUCCUUUUGCCCUGUGCAUAUAGCACCUUUAUUGCACUUUGCUGUCAUCCUUUGUAUUUGUGCUUCUUAAUAGUUGUCCAGUACUGCGGUUCUCCUAAUGGAAUUAAUAGCAGUUGGAAAUUAGCAAACCUUACAAACUUACAAAUGACCAUAACAUUCGGCCAAUACCCUCCUGCUGUUCUCUCCAUGGAUGCUGGCUCAGGUGGUUACACUGUGCAGCACAAUUGUCCAGCUCCUAGAGAAUUGCUCACAGCGGUAGGAAGCAGGUUGCAAGUCAGAAUACCAAAUGAGUAACUGUGGCUGUGAUAACUGUAUACCUUGUGACUCAACAAAACUGCUCUGUUGUAUCAGGAAUGCCAAACUGACUGACUCAUUUCUACUUUCACCUAAAUAAUCAGGCCUGACUUUUUUUUUUCUUAACUCCACAAAGAAGAAAUCCUAUUUACAAUACAUUGUCCUUCCACUCUCCUCUGAGAGGAGCCCAGUGGUUUAUCCUAGGUUAGAUUCAAUACUUUCAGUUUGCUAUAAUUAAAAACUCAAAAUGAAAUUCUGAAAAACAAAAUCAUGGAGACUAGAACUAAGGAAGACUUUUUGGAAUAAAAUAUUUCCCAAGUGAAAUCUAUAAAUUUAGCGUAGCUCACACUUUAUGUCAUGAUCACGUAUUCGUUACUAACUCCUGUCAAGUUUUUAUGGUGAUGAAGAUUCCACUUGUGUCUAUGAAGGAGUAUUCAGAUCUUUUCCAAUAAUAGCAAACAAACAUGUUGCCUUUGUUUCAUCUUGCACUCUACAAACAUCAAAGUCCUUAAUGACCAUACUAAAAACAUAGCUCUUCUACUGACCAGCUAGAAGCUGAUGUAGGUGGUACAUUCCUCACAAGUACUUCCUGUAAUGGAAUGAAGUCUCAUCCUAAAAUGUAAAAUGGCAAAUCUUCUGUUAUUUUCAUAAUUGUCUCUGAAAGGAGGAGGUAGAUGAAGAAGAUCCCAGCAAAAAUAAGGAAUCGGGAAGAAUGGAGGUUUUCCUGGAAAUAAACCAGAGAAAGAUAAACAAGGAUAUUUUCAUUUGAUUCUCCUUGAUGCUUCUUGAAUCAUUGAUCAUGAUUUCAUUAAUUAGAAAUCUAACUGCUACAAUACUGAUGCAAGAGUGUAAACAAUUAAGUAUAUCUUCAUCUGGUGUCUGGAAUCAUAUUCAAAACAUUAGUGACUAGUCACUAAUAUUAGUGGUUAGUCACUUACCAUGAUAAAUGGGAAAAGCAUUCCAAAACCAAGGAAUCAUGUCCAGCUGAAACAUCCUUCACAGCAGUCACAGCAGCUGAUGAUCUAGGUGUCUGAUUGGAGAUUUCCCUCAGAGAUGGACUUGGUGGCCCAUAUGAAGAGGAAACAGGCAUGAAGAUGGACACAGCAUGCUGGCUGGUUCUAUUUUGAAUUUUCUAGUUUUCCCUUCAUUUCAUGGUUUAUAAUGAUUCUAUCGCAUUUGUGUGAUGCCACCGUGGCACUAAAUGCUAUGUAUUUAGUCACUCAAUGCUAGUGUUAAAUUUCCUGGUUUCCUCAUACUUGUGUAAAUGAAUUGAAGUCCUCAGACUUAUUGAAUGGAAGUACACUCAUUGUUCCACUUCAAAUCUGCAUAGAGCCCCAUCACUCUCCCUGUGACAGUCAAGUACUGUGUGCUACUACUACUUUUGAGUAAAAGAGAGGCAGAGUGAGUAGUUAAAAAUAAUUUGUUUCUUGCAGAAGUAUGAGAAAGACAGAGGCCUUGGCAUGGGUUAAGACAACAUGCAAACAUUAAUAUUGGUGGGUUAAUCAUAUACUAUCUGGUUUAUCAGUAACUGUGAGAUGUACAGCAAUAGCAAGCAUUUGGGAGAACGGAUCUUGUUGGGUUUGGCACAUUGGUUUUGUAGAGCCUGAGAGAACGAAUGCUUGGAAUUGAAAGAUUCCUUCAGGUAAGAAGUAGUGAUGGUAGCCAGCAAGACUACCCCAAAAAGACUGGUUACUUGCAGGAGGCAGUGGAGCUAAAUCAGAGUGAGCCUACCUAGAGCUCACAAGAGAGGGACAGAUGGACUCAAGGCUCCCACCUGAACGUGGCACUGAGCUGUGCAGCACAGACAAGCAGUCAGUCCUUCUGCAGUGUUCCAGCUGUGCUUCUGCUGACACCUGUUCCUGCAAAAGUACCAGCAAAGCCACAGUGACACUGACUGAGAUCCCAACAGAGGAUUCCUUCCUCUCUGUGUGCUGAAGGCACAUUUUCUGCAUGAAGGUUUGGGAAUCCUGAAAAGAAGAUAGGAAAAGGAGGAGAGUAAAAUCAGAGAGAAGGAAUUGACAAAUGAAAGUGGAAGUUUUCACAGUAGAAUACGCUAAUGAUCUGGUACACUGCCAAUGGUGAACACUGAUCCUAACCUGGAUUUUUCCAUUUGCCUAUCUAAAUAACUACUCUAUGGCAUGUCCAUGCAGCACAUUUCAGACAUAUUACCAUUUGCAAUUGCAUCUCAUUGUGAAAUCUGUGUAAACCAUGAAUAGAACAGCAUAGAAGGACAUUGUUGCUUUCACCUUUGGUCUAAAGCUGUGCUUAUUUUCAAACAUGCAACUUAGGCAUUAGAAAUUCCCCUUUACAACAUCAUUAGGAAAGCUGCAAGUUGUAUAGAAGCACUGCCACAGUGGGAUGAAAAGGUCAUCAUGGCACAAAGAUAAAAAUAAAUGUUUCAUCUUGGAUGCAGGCAGCACUUUGCUAGUGUUUUGGAGGCAUGGAGGCAUAGGGGCACUGCAAUCAGCACUAUUUAUUUACUUAUUUAUAUUGCACUUGCAAAUACGUUUCCUGCAACUCUUUACUCCAAGUAAAGUAAAAUUAAAACUUCACACAUGAUUGUGGCAUCCAGUCCAGCAGUCUUUAGCUACUUCUGUAUGGCAGCAUGUUUGAAAUGGAUGCCAACCAGAAGGUAAUGUUCUAUUCAAGUAUACAGAAGGCUUAGCUGAAGGGAACAGGUCAGUUACACAUGGACCAGAGACCAGAAGCUGUGGUAUUAAGAGAACUGCAGUGAUAUACUAAUUAAAAACACGAGGCGUCUAAUUUUAUAGUUUAUUCCCUUAACAUCACCUAGGGCUACACACAGGGGAAAGUUAACUGUGGUGGAAUAGGAGCAGUUUGGGGGAUUAAAACUACUGCUGAAAAUACGCAACCCAGGUACAGAAAAGACGUGAGAAGUUUGAUGGUGCAAAAAGAUCUGAAACAGAAAUGAAUGCACUGAAUGAAUGCAAAAGGGACAAUAAAGGCCAGAGAAGAGUGAAGGGAGAUGUCUGUGUAAGAAGGAAAGUAGGUACAACAGCAUCUCCUAAAAGAAGUGAUUGCCACUCAUGAGCUAUGUAUGCAACACCAAAGUACCCCUGUAUGCCAGGGCACCUCUGAAAGCUGACAGGUUGAAACCUGGGGGUUCUGCAAAGGUAAGCACACUAGAACCAAGCUUUUGAGAGGAGUCAGCUGAGUGAGCUAAUACAUGGAGUGUUAAUGAAGCUACAAUUGCAAUCUGGAAGAUCAUGGAGUCUAACCCUGAGCAAACAUCAGCUCUGUCUGGGGCUUUGGGAAGGUUAUUUGGUUUCUUUAAGAAUGGUAACUGCAACAGUCAGCUUCUCAAUUCUUUUCCUGGGGAGCUUCUGACAGCUUAAUAUUGACAGGCAAUUCUGCCAGCUGUUGUACUCAGCACUUCUGAGAGGAGUUUUCCAUCCUCUAUGGAAAGGGUGGCUGAUCCCAGGCAGACAGAACUGUCAGACUGAGGAAUUUUUCUGUCAUUUCUUUCCUGCAAAUUCUGCUUUAACAGUCACCUGUCUGAGGCUGAGAUUAAUGUUAACUUCAUAUUAUUUCUGUCGACUAAUGUUUUUUACAGCAAUUACACAGGAUUAAAAACAGAGACAUCAAAUAUUUCAAUGUACUGACGGGAGAGGUCCCUCUAAAUAAGAAGAUUUGGUAGCAUGAACACUCUCUAUUUUGAUAUAGGAAGUGAAAACAGGUGGAAUAUAAAAUCUAAAUCAGGUUUUAGUUGCUGGAACAUGCUUUACUAUCAGAGUUUCUUUUCUGGCCAUUCCUUCAGAAACAGGAAGUAGAUUAUUGGAAAUUUUUAAAUAGAGAACACCCUAAGCUCAACACUGAUUCAGAGUUCCAGCACAAUGAUAAUCAUUGUGAAUGGUAAAGCUGCAGAAAGGCAGGACUUAUGGUCCUCCUAAGCAGGAGAUGUGGUAUAUAUUUGUACCAGUGAUGGAAAAUUGAAAAAUAAUCUGUAGUUUUAUAUAAAGGUAGAAGAGUUUGGGGAGGGAAGUGGUUAAAUGCAGCAGCAAUCACUAGGAUUAACAGCUCCUGGAGGGCAGCAGUGGCAAAGUGUAGUACUGCACGCUGAUGUGCUGAUGUGAUGUUGAGUGUAAUGUGUCCUAAUGCAAUACAGAGCAAGCAGAUAUUUACUACCACAGCUUCUGCUUCUUGUCUUGAGCAGUUACUUAUUUAUGAAGUGGGCUGAAUUUUCCGAGUGCCUGCUCUCUCAGUACUCUUCAAAGUGUCUCACUCCCUGCCUUGCUCCCAGUCCCUCGUCCUCUAGCUCUCAGCACUGCCUGCAUCCUUCUGACUGCAUAGAGCUGUCCACAUGUCAGCCCUGGGAAGUGUCUGUGGCUACAAAUGUCUUCCUGCCAUGGAACUGUUAUAGGAAGGAGGCACUGAGAAGCAGAGAUAAAUAAAAAUAGGAUACUUGGAUUAAUGACAAGCGAUCUGUAGGUUGCUUUUUUUGAUUGUAGUUUAUUGAGAAAAGUCCACGAUAAGGUUUAGCUCUCAGUUUGAUUUUGAGACAGAGCUUUUUGUCAGUGGAAGUUGCUUAUGGUGGCUGGUCAGAGCUUGGUGCAAUAUAUCUUUUCUUCAGUCACGUUAUUCUCCACAGUCUGAUGCCUUUUCUUCUUAUAUCUGCGUGUUUUGAAUUCUUCUGUAAUUUCAAAGGUUGACUUCCCUUUUGUUUCUGGGACGAACAGGUAGAUGAGAACUGAUGAAACUACCAGGACAGCAAUAAAGAUGAGGAAGCAGAAAGGACCAAGAGUCAUCUGGAGAAAAAAGUAGAGUAAGAUGAGUGACUUCCCUGGCAACACUUGCCCCUAUAGAUUCUUGCAAAUUGUUGGCUUGUCCCUAAGAAAUGAGGAAUACAUUUAUUUUAUCUUUUCAGUCUAUUCUUAAGGCAGCAGAGGCUGUCAGAACUCCAGAUAAGUUUUUUAUACGAAUGGUCUCCACUUGCCAUUGGUAAUUAAGCCUUCACAGCUUUGGUCAUCUACAAGAAUUUCAUCUUACUUCCUGUCCAGACCAGCCUAGAAAAACAGUUUAAAUUGAGAGUCGAAGAGGAAAUUUGUAACAAAUUACAUACAACAGCAAAGGGGAAAAUCAUUCCAGUGAAAGCGAGGCCUAGCCAGAUGAUGAUUCCACCAAUUACAAAUGCAGAAGACCGUGCUGAGAGGGUGAAGAUUUCAUUCAUGACAGAUGAAACAGCUCCAGCUGGGGAAAAAAAAACAACAUAAAAAGCAAUAAGAAACACUGUUGUGUGUUUUGUGGAGAUUAGGUUAACUACUCUCCUCAAAGUGAGUAAAUUGUUGUAACUCAUCAAAAACUGCCCCAGUAAAGUCAGACUACUGUGAGAUGACAUGAAUCUAGGCAGCACAACCACCUCUAUCAGAAUUCACCUUCUCUUAAUCAUAAAUUGGAAGUCCUCCAUUUCAGUCCAAACUAAGCUGCUGAUUUACAAAGAUAUAUUCCAUGGCCUGUGUGUACCCCUGUGGUCUAAGUUUUGCUGUUGCUGCUUAUAUUGUUAUACUCACCUGGUCCUAUUCCAUAGGCAAUGAUGAAUAAAAAGAUAAGAAUAACAUUGCAGUAACGCAUCCAGAGGAACCGAUCCUACACAAAGGCAGAGGGAGGGAUGAGAAAUGACAGUUUCAGAGCUGUAGCACAGCUGAUCCAAACAUACUGGAAAAGAGAUGUUGAUGAAAAAGCCCACAGUGCUGAGGAACAGAUUCUCACUAGAACUACUUAUAUUUCUGUACUGAAUGCAGCAGAAGGCCAAAAGUAGCCUGCAGUGUCAUACCUACGGAAGUGAGUUGGACUGUACCCUGCUCUGAAAAAUAAGAAAUGAAUUCCAAGCUAGUUAUAGCAUGGGGAAAAGUGUAACUGAUUCAACCUAAUUGUCUUAUUCAAUUAGACAGCUUCAGAGAAAUGUUUAAAACUUGUGAAUCAGAAGAUAUGUGUGAAACAGAGAGGAGUUAAUAGUUUGUGGGCUGAGACAAAGGUUGAAAUGCAGUGCUAAACGCUGGCAAUAUCAGAGCUGUGUCACUGGGUUCCUCACUCCUUUCCACCACCCAGCUUGGGAGUAGCCAGAGAGCUGCACUGUGUGUGUGCAGCUGGACUGUGUGCCUCAAGGCUGGAAACUGGUAGUGGUAGGAAGUACACACUGCUUCUGUCACAGGCUGCAGGGGAUAGAAACUGGGAAAGGCAACAACAGAGAUGUUAUCUAGGGAUUUAAGGGGCAGCAAAAUGACACAAGAGAGGCUCGGAGAGAUCAGGCAGACAGAGAACUGGAGGAAAGCUAUACCUGACCAAUGGUUUUACAAUAUAUUUUUCACUGGCUGUUUGAAAGAUUGAUUAAAGAUGAAAUACAAGACAUGACAGAGAUAUAGGCCUUGCAAGAGGGGCUGUAAGUUUGUGUUCAGAAGAUAUUCUGACCUGCUCUUUUGGACGUCAGAACUAAGGCUGACUAUGUGCUGUCCUGCACAAAGAUUUCUGAUGCAGGUCCACCCCUAGAGAGACAUUUGCUUACACUCAGUAGAAGGCUUGUUUCAAGCAACACCAGUACCAGUGCCAUCAACAAAUAACCACCCCACAGGAGUAUCCGGCGUCCAAAACGAUCAAUAAUGGAGCUCUGAGAAGCAAAAAAAACACAACCAUAUAUCACUGGGGACAUGGCC
This 15365-nucleotide long non-coding RNA is filed under the name Gallus gallus (chicken). Lineage: Eukaryota; Metazoa; Chordata; Aves; Galliformes; Phasianidae. The record is from RNAcentral.